UUUUUGAAUACUACAACUUAAGAGUACUAAAACUAUUACAAUAUUCACGUUUAAUAAUUAGGCAUUAAGCAAUCAAGUAUAAUCUGCUUUCAAAAAUUUGGAUCCACCCUUAUAACCACAUCUAAUCAAAAGCAAUACUUCUUCCCAAACAGAAAGGGAAAAGUAUCUAACUAAUACUAGAAUUUAUGCAAGUUUAGAUAUUAAUAAGAAUAGUGAAACUCACAAGCUUUGCGCCUUGCUU
Molecule: long non-coding RNA, 241 nt
Filed under: Salvia miltiorrhiza (redroot sage)
Lineage: Eukaryota; Viridiplantae; Streptophyta; Magnoliopsida; Lamiales; Lamiaceae
Description: long non-coding RNA (SMIL_LNC000055)
Source: RNAcentral